GGACUGUAGCUCAGUGGUAGAGCACUCGCCUCACACGUAUGAGGCACUGGGUUUGACCCUCAGCACCA
Molecule: transfer RNA, 68 nt
Filed under: Marmota monax (woodchuck)
Lineage: Eukaryota; Metazoa; Chordata; Mammalia; Rodentia; Sciuridae
Description: tRNA.Val
Rfam family: tRNA (bases 5-65)
About the family: Transfer RNA (tRNA) molecules are approximately 80 nucleotides in length.
Source: RNAcentral